AAAAUGGGAAUAACUGAUGAUACUUGAUGAUGUUGCUGGCAUGGUCUAACAUACUUCCUCGCAUGAGGCCUCCUCUGCCUCCCCACAGACACUGCAUUAGUUUCUCCUUCCUUCUUUUUGGAGAAACUACCACCAUAUUUAUUGCUUGAAGACGCUUCAUCUUUAGACAAUCGUCCUUCUCAGACACCUUCUUCCAACCACAUCCCCAUGUUCACCAUUUCAGUGAAAUCAUUAGGAGCACUAACAAUCAUGCGUUCAUAGUAAAAUGAAC
RNAcentral lists this long non-coding RNA (271 nucleotides) under Lathyrus oleraceus (garden pea). RNAcentral's name for it is "Pisum sativum (pea) long non-coding RNA (PSAT_LNC001399)". Lineage: Eukaryota; Viridiplantae; Streptophyta; Magnoliopsida; Fabales; Fabaceae. The record is from RNAcentral.